UACAGAGGUGGCAAGCGUUGUUCGGAAUUACUGGGCGUAAAGCGCGUGUAGGCGGCCAGGUAAGUCCGUUCUGAAAGCCCGGGGCUCAACCCCGGGAGGCGGAUGGAUACUGCUUGGCUCGAGUCCGGAAGAGGCGAGUGGAAUUCCCGGUGUAGCGGUGAAAUGCGCAGAUAUCGGGAGGAACACCAAUGGCGAAGGCAGCUCGCUGGGACGGUACUGACGCUGAGACGCGAAAGCGUGGGGAGCAAACAGG
Molecule: ribosomal RNA, 253 nt
Filed under: uncultured bacterium
Lineage: Bacteria
Description: partial 16S ribosomal RNA
Rfam family: Bacterial small subunit ribosomal RNA
Source: RNAcentral